Molecule: non-coding RNA, 5141 nt
Organism: Cyanistes caeruleus (blue tit)
Lineage: Eukaryota; Metazoa; Chordata; Aves; Passeriformes; Paridae
Source: RefSeq, a predicted model, not a curated record
AAGAAAUGUACACAUUCUUAUACAUAAUAGAAAGGUGGACAGAUAUGCAAGAAAACAAAAAUAUCAUCUUGCCAUUGUAUCUCUGACAUUAAAAGGACAUUUGAUACAGAAAUACAAUAUUGUAUUUUUGACUACACUAGAUUUCCAGGGGGUGAGGGUAGUGGGGAGAAUCAUCAUUUUACCCACCCAUACUUGCAUGCUGUGUCCAACACCAGACAGAACAACUUUACACCAUAAACACUUUAUUACAUAAGCUAAAGGUUUCUUUGUAGCCAAAAAAAGUUUGAAGCUCCAGGGAUGAACCACCCUAUCUAUUCUUUGUCUCUGCAUCAGGCAUUGACUGUUGGCUUCUGUCAGAGACAGGCACUGGGCUAAGUGGCAUCUGACACCACCCACCACAUCUGCUCUAAUAAAACACACAUUUAGAGGUGUGUGUUUUAUUACCAGGCCUCCAGAACAUGGCUGUGAAUGCACCAUGCCAGGGUAGUACAACGGUGGCAUUACUAGUGACAAAAAUUAUAUUUUGUAGAAAAGAGGGUCUGUUUAGAAAAAUUGAGGCCUCUGAGCCUAAGCCUCUAAAAGCAGGGAAAGAUUUUUUGCUUUUGGAUUAUGCUGCUGAACUCAAUACACUCUUGUAUGACUGGCAUGAACAUUAGUAUUCAAUUUGCUGAAAGAUAAGCUAGAAAGAAAGCAACAAUCAAUUUUAACAAUGGAGUAACAUAAAUUUAGGAGCAUCAGCCCCAUAUAUGCCGAUUAAACUUUUUCUGGGAUGAAAACACACAGAACUCAACUCUCUGCAUGUCAGUUUACGUCUUUGAUCCUGUACCAAUUACAAUCUUCAAUCUAUUUCAGUAUCUCACUUCCAAGAAUAAUAGGAGUUUUAAAACAGAACUGAGAAAGUUCCCAUGGACUUCUAAAACUGUCUCCUCUGUGCCAUCUCAGUUUAUUUGCAUGUCCAAGCUAGCAUGGUUUUAAAUUUUGUUCUCAAAUUACAAAAGAAAAGCACAGAAUAUUCUAGAAGCUGUACAGUUUUUAUACUGUUUUUCAGUAUCAGUAAUCUGAAGAUCAUGUCACAGUAGUUUAAAUUAUUCUGACCAAGCUAACUAUAAAUCCAGUAGUUCACAAAAUAAUAGCACCUGUAACUCCGUGACAGUUACAAAUAAGUUAUAUGAUGCAAGCUAUAAUUUUUAAACUCAAAAGAAUUUGGUAUAUAAUAAAGAAUUACAAAUUUCAACACUUAACAGCUCUCGCAUGGCAUAAGUAAAAAACAGCAGUCCACAUUAAAAACAAAAUGCUAAGGCAUAUUCCUAACUGGAAAAGGCAUUGCAUGGUAAUAGUGUAUGUCAUUAGGGAGUAGGAGUUUUGACUAAAAAGAAGAAAGUACUAACUUUAGAAUUCCUGGAGCCUCCACAAAUAUUCCUAGAAAGGUGCCUAGGCAAAACUUCUGCUUUACUUACGCUGCUGACUGUUCAUGAAGACAACUGAAGAACAGGCAUACUGUAAUAGUCUAAAGUGCCCAAUUUUUAUCUGGGAGAUACAUGCAUACACAUGAUUCCCUUCUUCCUUGAAAAAAACUCAUGUGUUCCAGUGUUCACCAUUGGAAAUGUGGAGCAAUCAAAGUCUGUGUCUUCACUGAAAUGCCUGUCAAAUCUCCUAACAGUUUUCUCCUUAAUUUUACAUUAGCUCUCUGGUCAGAAAGAAGAGUUUUCUGGCAGUCUUACAAAGCUGAUUGCAACCCACUGUUGUAUUCAAGGAUUAUGUGUGUAUACAUUCUUAAGCACUCUCUUUGGCCUGGAAACACUGACCGUGUCCCCUUCUACAGAACUGUAGACAUCAACAAAUAAGGCCAUGGAAGUGCUCAUUUCAUGUGCUUUCCUAGCUUGCAGAGUCCCACACAGCCCUGGGGUACUCCCCACCCUGUUUGUAUUUUCAAUGGUUUAUACCUUGAAGAAUUCACUGUCUUGAUGUUAAAUUAUGGUACACAAAAUUAGAUGACUGACUCACAUUACUCUUGUGGGAUUAGUGCCCCAUCUUCACAGAAAUUUAUGGUUUACUGAUAAAGCAAGAUCGAUUGUCAGAUAACAAUAGGAAGAAAGUGGUUAUUUCACUCCUGGUAGCAUUUUAGUUUACAGAACAUGUGAACAUCACCUGCAACUAGACUAGCAAUAAACUGACCUUGUAGAGAUGAAACUAAAGGAUUAAAUGCAAGACAACAGUAAUGAAGAUACAAAGUGAUAACACAGCAAUAUCGAGAAGGAAAACAGUGGUGUUCCAGUGGGGCCUCUGUAUCCCACCAAGGACAUCCAGGACCAUUCUACACAGAAGGCCUGGCACUGUGGGCAGUCUGACAAACAACUGAAAGGAAAAUGAAGUUCUGACAAAAAAAAUUUGUUUUUUGUUCCUCUGUUUGCCAUCACAGAACUACAGCAACUCACAAGUUUCAACUACAACUGACUUUUUUUUUUGUGUUCCCCACUACACUGUCUCCAGAGCAGCUGACCUGCUGGUCUGAAUACCAGAGAAGACAAUAUGGGGAAGUUUGUUGUAGACAAACUUCACAAUCAAUAUCAAUAUCUUGCCUUCCUUUGGUGGGAAUGUGCAGACCUCAAGGACAUGCUUCAAAGGCUCAGAUGUUGUCUAAAAUAAUCUAUAUCUAAUGAGUUUAUAAAUUAGUAAAUCUAGAAGCUAGGGAAGAGGCAACGGCAUCCUUAAAGCACAAUGUAAGGACAAACUAACAUGAAAUACCACCUCUGAAAAAUCAUCGCUUAAAACUUUGGAUGUAAACUGUUUAUCUGACUUUAAUACAGGUCUUAGAUCCUAGCAUUGCCAGAAAAGUAAUAGCUCUAUAACACAAGCUGCACAUUGUGGAAUUGCAAUAUUUUAAAGUUAAUAGAAUUAAUCUUUUACAAAACGACAUCUGUGUUUACAACUCAUUUUAGAAAGCUAAUAAUACUUUCUGAAAUUGUCAGCCUGAGUCAUUGGAGAUUUUUUAAAUUAGAAAAAUGGUAGAGUUGAUCUGAGUAAACAGAACUAUUUAGCCAGUCCAACCCAAAUGACAUUUUCUCAGCCAACUCUGUCAUGACCCAAACUAAUUAAAAAUCAUAACCAAAAUAAAAUUAGAAGGGACUUCAUUUAAUCCAGUCCCCCAAACAGCAUACCUCUAACUUUCCUGAGAAAUAUUUCAUCUAUUACAGGCAUCCAGUGAUGCCUUUACAUUGUGCCCCAGGCAAUCUUACUUAAAUGCUACAUUAUCAUCUGCACUGGAAAAUUUGCCUAACAUCUACCCUGAAUUAUUUUCUUGCUGCAAUUUAAGGUAUUCUAUGUCUGUAAUGGACAAGAAAACUGUGUUAUUUCCUCAGGCAACAAAGAGAAAUAAUUUAUGUCUAUGCCAAACUGUCUCAAGUUCAGUGUGUUGCAGGGCUGCCAUUUUACUGGUGACAUCCCAUGGCAGUGACACAGACUUCAUCAAUACUUAGAACAACGUCUUUUUCAGGGAAGGUUUGCUUAGGUUAUCAAAUUUUAACUUCUUUCCCAUCAAAACCAGCACAAAGCCUGGGAAGUCAAGCCAUGUUAAACUGCACACAAAAACUACAACUGCCACUCUUUGAUAAAGACCUCACUCAGCAUCUAACAAAACACUAGCUCAAACAAAACAUGUGGGUCCAUGGAGUGUAAGAAGUUUGGGAAGAAUUUUACAGAAGCAGGCUAUGGGGAAAUCAAGAGCAGAGGAAGAGGGUUUCUGUUUAGAAAGAUGAAUUUUUUGCAGUUGGUAGAGAUUCACAUUUAACAAGCACUUCCUUAGCAAUGCUUCAAAAGCAAUUACUUUUACACUCUACUUCUGAAUUGUUAUUAGGAAAUAUUUCUAAUGAACAGCUGCUUUAGGAAAUUGCUGCUGUUCACUUGCCUCUUCUCUUCAAGGCUUUCAAAACAGGAAACUGCUUCCCAACCUUUGGUUACCUAACUGUUCAGAAACUUCUGUUACAUAGACAGGUUCGGGUUGGAAGGGGUAUUUUUGAUCAUUUAGUUCCAACCCUUGUGCCACGGGCAGAGACACCUUUCAAUAGGCCAGGUUGCUCUGGGCCCAUCUAGCCUGGCCUUAGUAUUUCCAACUGCGGCAUUUUUAUUAAAAAUUCUAUUUGUACUUUCAAAGAAGAGCCAAGUGUUUUCUCAGAGAACACAGAAACACUUUCGAGGUCUCGAGUAUCUUCUAAGUAUUAGCUAUAAUGCUCUUACAAAAAAAGAACAAAACCCCCAAAAAACACAAGGAAUCAAAUAAAAAGAAGCAUGUUUCAUCAAUGGCAACUCCUGGUCAAGAUCUUGUCUGCAGCUUUCUAUACAGAGAAAACAAACAAAAAAUUUUCAAGAUCAGUGCAAACCAGUCUACAGAAUUCUCAACUAGAGUAUGAAACAGCAAGUUGUCCUGCAAAUGUUAAUUCAGCAGAACAUCCGAGCAUAUGCAGAGACUUCAAGUCUAAAACAUCACUUCAACAGACCAGAGCAGAAGAGUACAGCAGCAGUGGCCUGCCUGCCUCUCUCCCAAAAGCAGUACAAAGAUCACUUGAAGCUUUGUGCACUAUAACCCGAUAAUAGUAGGUGCUUCCUGCCUCUUAGCUGCUGCUCUGAUCUGCCAGCUCAGAGGUUAUAAUCGCUCUGGGAGGCUCUGCUUCACAUGUGCCAAUCAGUUGCUAUGCAGCGAGCCAGGAACAAUCCAGAGCCCAGCCUUUACCAGUAAGAAUGGUUCUAAGAAUCCAUCACAGGCUCCACCUCACCACCACAAAAACACAAAUGCUUUAAGCACAUACUACGGCUGACUGCUUUGUAUGGUGAUGUUAGAGACAAAAUUAUUAAAAUUCACUGACUUCUCCGUCAGAUAAUCCAACAGUGUCUGUAUGUUUGGCAAACUGCCCAACUAUGCACGUAAGGAUUCAUUAAGGUUUUCUUCCAGCACUGCAGAUACAGGGGACCACAAGUACAGCCAAGGCAAAUAAUGCCACUGCCAGCUUAGGAAGGCAGUCUAUUUCGACAGUACAUAUUUAAGAAAGAACAUUAAGUGAAGACUGAAUUAAUUGCAUUCGUUGUGCUUGGAAAUGUUCCACAGUAAGCAGCCUACAGCAGAAAAGCAAGUCUAAGAACUAAUUAGA